Small nuclear RNA from Mustela lutreola (European mink), 144 nucleotides. RefSeq annotates it as U4 spliceosomal RNA. The record is from RefSeq and is a predicted model, not a curated record. Lineage: Eukaryota; Metazoa; Chordata; Mammalia; Carnivora; Mustelidae. The transcript has a single exon.
AGCUUUGCGCAGUGGCAGUAUCGUAGCCAAUGAGGUUUAUCCGAGGUGCGAUUAUUGCUAAUUAAACAAUCUUAACUUCCCUCUCAAGAUAGAGUUUAUGGGUAAGAAACUCCCGGUCUCAAUGUUCCAAUGACCCAACUUUCU